Molecule: long non-coding RNA, 237 nt
Filed under: Mytilus galloprovincialis (Mediterranean mussel)
Lineage: Eukaryota; Metazoa; Mollusca; Bivalvia; Mytilida; Mytilidae
Source: RNAcentral
GUUUAUUUACUCAUGAGUUACCUUUUUCAUAUUUUUUCACUUUAAAGAACCAAUCUUCAACCAGUUUUGUAACGACAUUAAGAUUUGUUUCAUUUUUUUUUAUUUUGAUUUGUAUUCGGAACAAUUUUUUUUUACUGUCAUCGCUAUGGUGAAAACUGCAAUCGCUGCUGCAGAUUGGACAUAUUGUAUGUAGUAGUGUGCUGGUAGAUAAUUUGAAACGCGAAACUCACAUAUUGA